AGCUCUAACAUUGUGUAUUAAACUUGUUACAGUUUAAAAUCUCAUGGUUGGAUUUCUGACUGAGCAUGUGGGUCCACUCUUACAACUGUGCACCAUAUACGCCUGGUCAUCUUUUGGGAGAGCCACUGUGGCAUUAAGUUGUUGGUGUGGGGAUCCCAAUCCUUUACUGUGAAGAAAUUAAGAUGUUCAAAGAAGGAUUAUGCAGUUCCAUAUACUAGCAUGGAAUAAUAAUAAAGGACUAGUAUACUAUUUUGUUGGUUUGUGCACAAUAGUAAUGAUUAACAGGAACAGUUUAAGAUAUUUGUAUUCCAUUGUCAGAGGUUGGAUUCUUGAACUUUUGGAAGACAAGCUACUACAAAAGUAUUUACCAAAGGUAUUUUCA
RNAcentral lists this ribosomal RNA (382 nucleotides) under uncultured eukaryote. RNAcentral's name for it is "SSU rRNA". It matches the Rfam family "Eukaryotic small subunit ribosomal RNA", at positions 587 to 972 of the family's 1831-position model. The record is from RNAcentral.